GACGAACGCUGGCGGCGUGCCUAAUACAUGCAAGUAGAACGCUGAAGGAGGAGCUUGCUUCUCUGGAUGAGUUGCGAACGGGUGAGUAACGCGUAGGUAACCUGCCUGGUAGCGGGGGAUAACUAUGGGAAACGAUAGCUAAUACCGCAUAAGAGUAGAUGUCGCAUGACAUUUGCUUAAAAGGUGCAAUUGCAUCACUACCAGAUGGACCUGCGUUGUAUUAGCUAGUUGGUGAGGUAACGGCUCACCAAGGCAACGAUACAUAGCCGACCUGAGAGGGUGAUCGGCCACCCUGGGACUGAGACACGGCCCAGACUCCUACGGGAGGCAGCAGUAGGGAAUCUUCGGCAAUGGACGGAAGUCUGACCGAGCAACGCCGCGUGAGUGAAGAAGGUUUUCGGAUCGUAAAGCUCUGUUGUAAGAGAAGAACGAGUGUGAGAGUGGAAAGUUCACACUGUGACGGUAUCUUACCAGAAAGGGACGGCUAACUACGUG
This 495-nucleotide ribosomal RNA is filed under the name uncultured bacterium. Its description in RNAcentral is "partial 16S ribosomal RNA". It matches the Rfam family "Bacterial small subunit ribosomal RNA", at positions 28 to 507 of the family's 1533-position model. The record is from RNAcentral.